Molecule: ribosomal RNA, 484 nt
Filed under: uncultured bacterium
Lineage: Bacteria
Description: partial 16S ribosomal RNA
Rfam family: Bacterial small subunit ribosomal RNA
Source: RNAcentral
UGGGGAAUAUUGCACAAUGGGCGAAAGCCUGAUGCAGCAACGCCGCGUGAGUGAUGAAGGUCUUCGGAUUGUAGAGCUCUGUCUUUUGGGACGAUAAUGACGGUACCAAAGGAGGAAGCCACGGCUAACUACGUGCCAGCAGCCGCGGUAAUACGUAGGUGGCGAGCGUUGUCCGGAUUUACUGGGCGUAAAGGGUGCGUAGGCGGAUGUUUAAGUGAGAUGUGAAAUACCCGGGCUUAACUUGGGUGCUGCAUUUCAAACUGGAUAUCUAGAGUGCAGGAGAGGAGAAUGGAAUUCCUAGUGUAGCGGUGAANNGCGUAGAGAUUAGGAAGAACACCAGUGGCGAAGGCGAUUCUCUGGACUGUAACUGACGCUGAGGCACGAAAGCGUGGGUAGCAAAACAGGAUUAGAUACCCUGGUAGUCCACGCCGUAAAACGAUGAGUACUAGGUGUAGGAGGUAUCGACCCCUUCUGUGCCGCAGUA